RNAcentral lists this unclassified non-coding RNA (291 nucleotides) under fungal sp. RNAcentral's name for it is "partial internal transcribed spacer region". The stretch from base 1 to 46 matches the Rfam family "Eukaryotic small subunit ribosomal RNA", at positions 1786 to 1831 of the family's 1831-position model. The record is from RNAcentral. Lineage: Eukaryota; Fungi.
AAGUCGUAACAAGGUUUCCGUAGGUGAACCUGCGGAAGGAUCCUGUAGCCCGUGAAAGGUAAAUCAUUGUUGACCAGCUUUUGAGUCAGGGACCUCUGCAGAUUGUGAUAUUUUCUAGCUACGGUUGAGCGAUUGCAUCUCGUGACCUGGCAUCCCCAGUAAUCCGUGUUCUGAAAGUGUCAUUGAUUGUGUAGGAUGGCGCAGUCACGAUUGCUGCUUUUCGACACUACAGUCUUCGCCGCGCGGGCACCAAAAACCGAACAACUGUUAACAAUGGAUAUCUUGGUUCUA